This 228-nucleotide long non-coding RNA is filed under the name Elaeis guineensis (African oil palm). RNAcentral's name for it is "long non-coding RNA (EGUI_LNC034884)". The record is from RNAcentral. Lineage: Eukaryota; Viridiplantae; Streptophyta; Magnoliopsida; Arecales; Arecaceae.
GAACGAAGGAAAAUAAAAUCUAGAUGGAGACAUUAAUACCAUGUAAAAAGAGAUACUAAUAAUACUAAAAAAUAGCUACAAAUAUGUUAAAGAAAUUAAUGAAAAAAAAGAUCCAUCUGGUAACAAAACUUAGUGGUGGAAUAAAAAAGUUCAAUUGGUGGUUAAAGAAAAAGAGAAUGCUAUAGAAGUCUAUUAAUAUGUAGAAAUAGAGAAGUAUAUAAAAGCUAG